AUUGAACGCUGGCGGCAUGCCUUACACAUGCAAGUCGAACGGUAACGCGGGGCAACCUGGCGACGAGUGGCGAACGGGUGAGUAAUGCAUCGGAACGUGCCCAGUAGUGGGGGAUAGCCCGGCGAAAGCCGGAUUAAUACCGCAUACGACCUAUGGGUGAAAGCGGGGGAUCGCAAGACCUCGCGCUAUUGGAGCGGCCGAUGUCAGAUUAGCUAGUUGGUAGGGUAACGGCCUACCAAGGCUACGAUCAGUAGGGGGCGUGAGAGGGCACACGGCCACACUGGCACUGAAACACGGGCCAGACUCCUACGGGAGGCAGCAGUCGGGAAUUUUGGGCAAUGGGCGAAAGCCUGACCCAGCAACGCCGCGUGAAGGAUGAAGUAUUUCGGUAUGUAAACUUCGAAAGAAUAGGAAGAAUAAAUGACGGUACUAUUUAUAAGCUCCGGCUAACUACGUG
Molecule: ribosomal RNA, 457 nt
Filed under: uncultured bacterium
Lineage: Bacteria
Description: bacterial SSU rRNA
Rfam family: Bacterial small subunit ribosomal RNA
Source: RNAcentral